GAUGAACGCUGGCGGCGUGCUUAACACAUGCAAGUCGAACGGAGUGCCUUAGAAAGAGGAUUCGUCCAAUUGAUAAGGUUACUUAGUGGCGGACGGGUGAGUAACGCGUGAGGAACCUGCCUCGGAGUGGGGAAUAACAGACCGAAAGGCCUGCUAAUACCGCAUAAUGCAGUUGGAUCGCAUGGUCCUGACUGCCAAAGAUUUAUCGCUCUGAGAUGGCCUCGCGUCUGAUUAGCUUGUUGGCGGGGUAAUGGCCCACCAAGGCGACGAUCAGUAGCCGGACUGAGAGGUUGGCCGGCCACAUUGGGACUGAGACACGGCCCAGACUCCUACGGGAGGCAGCAGUGGGGAAUAUUGGGCAAUGGGCGCAAGCCUGACCCAGCAACGCCGCGUGAAGGAAGAAGGCUUUCGGGUUGUAAA
This 420-nucleotide ribosomal RNA is filed under the name uncultured bacterium. RNAcentral describes it as "bacterial SSU rRNA". It matches the Rfam family "Bacterial small subunit ribosomal RNA", at positions 28 to 429 of the family's 1533-position model. The record is from RNAcentral.